UCCGUAGGUGAACCUGCGGAAGGAUCAUUACCAAACCGAAGCUGUCCUUUGCCAAACCGGCAUUGGAUGCUUUAACCCUUUGUGAACCAAAACUUAACUUUCGCUUCGGCAGCGGGGACCUUUACCGGUCUCGUGAGCCUGUCGGUGGCAUCAUAUUAAACCUGUGUUUAACUAUGUCUGAACAAUAAGAUUUUGAAUUAAAUCAAAACUUUCAACAACGGAUCUCUUGGUUCCCGCAUCGAUGAAGAACGCAGCGAAACGCGAUAGUUAAUGUGAAUUGCAGAAUUCAGUGAAUCAUCGAGUCUUUGAACGCACAUUGCGCCCAUUGGUAUUCCAUUGGGCAUGUCUGUUUGAGCGUCAUUACAUACCCUCGACACCUGUCGGUAUUGGGCCGGCUUUAUGAAUGCAAAUUCAAGCCGGUUUUAAAGUGGCAAGCUCUGCUGACCACUGCUCCAAGUCAAAAACAUAGUAAUAACAAUACGUGUAGAAGGCGAAGAGCGGUUGGUUCGGCCUGAACAACCAAUUUUUGUGGUUUGACCUCAGAUCAGAUAAGGAUACCCGCUGAACUUAAGCAUAUCAAUAAGCGGAGGA
RNAcentral lists this ribosomal RNA (591 nucleotides) under uncultured Drechslerella. RNAcentral describes it as "eukaryotic LSU rRNA". The stretch from base 207 to 360 matches the Rfam family "5.8S ribosomal RNA". The record is from RNAcentral. Lineage: Eukaryota; Fungi; Ascomycota; Orbiliomycetes; Orbiliales; Orbiliaceae.